Molecule: ribosomal RNA, 94 nt
Filed under: Bacteroides thetaiotaomicron
Lineage: Bacteria; Pseudomonadati; Bacteroidota; Bacteroidia; Bacteroidales; Bacteroidaceae
Description: partial 23S ribosomal RNA
Rfam family: Bacterial large subunit ribosomal RNA
Source: RNAcentral
UUAGGGUCGUUAAAGACGAUGACGUUGAUAGGAUGCAGGUGUAAAGGUGGUAACAUCAAAGCCGAGCAUUACUAAUUGCCCGUUCACUUUCUUU